This 812-nucleotide long non-coding RNA is filed under the name Homo sapiens (human). RNAcentral describes it as "non-protein coding lnc-CADM2-3:14". The record is from RNAcentral. Lineage: Eukaryota; Metazoa; Chordata; Mammalia; Primates; Hominidae.
AGAAGUAUGACACUCACAGUGAAAGCACAAAACAUCAAGCCAACAGUUCAGGACUAGUCAUUCAAAUGGACUAAAGUAGUAUGAUGCCUCUGGCUUCCCUCUAUCACACGUCUUCUUUUCGAGUAAAGGUUUUUCAUAAAUGUGAGCGUGGAAGAAGAAACCAGUUAAAUAUGGAACUUCACACCAGGACACAAAAGGACUUCAAACUUUUAGAUUCCACAAGUAUGUGAAAAGAUGCAGUAUUUGUCUUUCUGUGCAUGGUUUACUUCACUUAUCAUCAUGUCCCUCAGGUUCAUCCACGUUGUUGCAAAUGACAGGAUUUCAUUCAUUUUUAAGACUGAAUAGUACUCCAUUAUGCAAAUAUACCAGAUUUUCAUUGUCUAUUCGUUCACUGAUGAACACGGGUUAAUCCUAUAUGUUGGCUAUUGUGAAUAAAGCUGCAAUGAAUAUGAGAGUACAGAUAUAUUCUUGACAUAUUAAUUUUAUUUUAUUUGGCAAUAUACCCAAUAGUAGCUAGAUCAUAUCAGAGUUCUAUUUUUAAUUUUUGAGGAAACUUCAUACUGUUUUUCAUAAUAGUUAUUACUAAUUUACACUCAGUAUACAAGAGUUCCCUUUUCUCCACAUUCUUUCCAAAAUUUGUUUCCUUUUCCCUUUUUGAUAACAGCUACUCUAACUGGGGUGAAAUAAUAUCUCACUGUGGUUUUAAUUUUCAUUUAUCUGAUUAAUGAUUUUGAGCUUUUUAAAAUAAAUACUUGUUGGCAAUUUGUAUGUCAUCUUUUGAGAAGUGUCUAUUAAAAUUUGUUUGCCUAUUU